UGACGGUACCUGACUAAGAAGCUCCGGCUAAAUACGUGCCAGCAGCCGCGGUAAUACGUAUGGAGCAAGCGUUAUCCGGAUUUACUGGGUGUAAAGGGAGCGUAGGCGGUGAUGCAAGUCAGAAGUGAAAACCCGGGGCUCAACCCCGUGGAUUGCUUUUGAGACUGUGUUGCUGGAGUACAGGAGGGGCAGGCGGAAUUCCUGGUGUAGCGGUGAAAUGCGUAGAUAUCAGGAGGAACACCGGUGGCGAAAGCGGCUCUCUGGUCUGUAACUGACGCUGAGGUUCGAAAGCGUGGGUAGCAAACAGGAUUAGAUACCCUG
This 321-nucleotide ribosomal RNA is filed under the name uncultured bacterium. RNAcentral's name for it is "bacterial SSU rRNA". It matches the Rfam family "Bacterial small subunit ribosomal RNA", at positions 470 to 789 of the family's 1533-position model. The record is from RNAcentral.